Molecule: ribosomal RNA, 300 nt
Filed under: uncultured Sulfurovum sp.
Lineage: Bacteria; Pseudomonadati; Campylobacterota; Epsilonproteobacteria; Campylobacterales; Sulfurovaceae
Description: bacterial SSU rRNA
Rfam family: Bacterial small subunit ribosomal RNA (bases 53-300)
Source: RNAcentral
UAUACCACUGUGAGAGGGACAGGGGGAAUAAUGGGGGUGCGAGUGUUAAUGUGAUUUGCUGGGGUUAAAGCGAGUGUAGGUGGUUAAUUAAGUAAAAUGUGAAAUCCCCGAGCUUAACUUGGGAAUUGCAUUCGAUACUGGUUAGGUAGAGUAUGGGAGAGGAUGGUAGAAUUCCAGGUGUAGCGGUGAAAUGCGUAGAGAUCUGGAGGAAUACCGAUGGCGAAGGCAGCCAUCUGGCCUAAUACUGACACUGAGGUGCGAAAGCAUGGGGAGCAAACAGGAUUAGAUACCCUUGUAGUC